GUAAUAUAGAGAUACCUUUUCUUUUUCUUUAAAAGAAAGGUCGGGUUUAAAUUGGGCUAUUAGCUCAGUUGGUUAGAGCGCACCCCUGAUAAGGGUGAGGUCUCAGGUUCAAAUCCUGAAUAGCCCAGUGGGGGGUAUAGCUCAGUUGGUAGAGCGCUGCCUUUGCAAGGCAGAUGUCAGCGGUUCGAGUCCGCUUAUCUCCACGGUUUUAAUAAAUUAACUCAUGAAAUAAAAUUGUUAUCAGAUUCAAGAAACUAAGGGCUUAGGGUGGAUGCCUUGGC
RNAcentral lists this transfer RNA (281 nucleotides) under uncultured bacterium. RNAcentral describes it as "partial 16S-23S ribosomal RNA intergenic spacer". The stretch from base 54 to 127 matches the Rfam family "tRNA". The record is from RNAcentral.